GACGAACGCUGGCGGCGUGCUUAACACAUGCAAGUCGAACGAUGAGGCCCAGCUUGCUGGGUGGAUUAGUGGCGAACGGGUGAGUAACACGUGGGCAACCUGCCCCAAACUCUGGGAUAACUCCUCGAAAGAGGUGCUAAUACCGGAUACGAACUAGGUAGACAUCUGCACUAGUUGGAAAGUUUUUCGGUUUGGGAUGGGCCCGCGGCCUAUCAGCUUGUUGGUGAGGUAACGGCUCACCAAGGCUACGACGGGUAACCGGCCUGAGAGGGCGACCGGUCACACUGGGACUGAGACACGGCCCAGACUCCUACGGGAGGCAGCAGUGGGGAAUAUUGCGCAAUGGGCGAAAGCCUGACGCAGCGACGCCGCGUGAGGGAUGAAGGUCUUCGGAUCGUAAACCUCUUUCAGUAGGGACGAAGCGAAAGUGACGGUACCUAAAGAAGAAGCACCGGCUAACUACGUGCCAGCAGCCGCCGUAA
Molecule: ribosomal RNA, 482 nt
Filed under: uncultured bacterium
Lineage: Bacteria
Description: partial 16S ribosomal RNA
Rfam family: Bacterial small subunit ribosomal RNA
Source: RNAcentral